Long non-coding RNA from Scatophagus argus, 2014 nucleotides. RefSeq lists it as uncharacterized. The record is from RefSeq and is a predicted model, not a curated record. NCBI's taxonomy places the organism in Eukaryota, Metazoa, Chordata, Actinopteri, Scatophagidae. The transcript has 4 exons.
UUGACAACAAGUCUGUCUCUGCUCUCUGACUGAAUGACUGUGUGUGUGUCACCUGAGCAAUGCGUGCAUCCUCCUGCAGCUUGUUGAGUCUCGAUUCAUUCCUGCUGAUGAAGUCUUUCAGUGUGCUGUUGUGUUGGAUGCUGAACUCUCUCCAGGUCUAAACUCUGCAGUUUAAACCCAUACACAGCUCCUCUCUUGCUGCUGUUCAUGUAGUUCCCCAGAGCCAAGAUGAUCUGGAACAAACACAUUUACAGAUGAACAAAGAUAUCUCUCUUAUUUUACUCAUUUCUGUUACUUUUGUAGACACAGACCUAUUUUUCAAUGAUUUUUUCAAAAUUAUUUAAGUAUAUAUUAAAUUGUCUUUUUUAAUUUAAAGUUAACCUAAAAAAACUUUGGGUAAGCAGCAACAACAGAAACAGUUAAGACAGUUAACAGUUGUGACACUCAGUCAAAGUCAGAUAAUAUUGAUGUGUUUACACACACAGAAAACUACAAACAUGUACUGUAUGUACUGUAUCUAUGGAGUACAUGUAAUGUACAUAUUGUAUCUUUGCAGAUGAGAUACACAUUGUGUAAACAAACAUAAACUAACCUCAAGGAUCUUCUUGAGCUUCUGAGAUGAUUUUAUAGAAACUGAAGCAGCGAUCAUAGCGUGGAGUUGCUGAAAGAAAACACAACACAGUAAGACAGGUCUGUUGCUACAACUGUCUGUCAGCACAGCUGUCUGACUCUUUACAGGCCUGUCUGUCUCUCCUUGACUGUCUGUCUUACCGGAGUUAACAUCUGGACAUUGUCGGUGAAAUUGCCCAUGAAAGUCAUGAUUGACAUGCGCUGAUUGAGUCUUUCAAUGCGGCUGAACUGCAUCAUAAAGCGAUCUUCAUCGCUCAGAGCCUCCAGAGGUUUUCUGUCCCUCUCAUAUUGCCGUAGGAGUUUUGCCUCAGCCUCCGUUGGCAGGAAACGCAUCAGACACUCCACAAAAUCGACACGAACUGUUCGCAAGUCAAACCUUGAGGAAAGACAAAGCAGAGUGUUGGGGGGAGCAGGUAAUAAUUUAGACAUUAAACAGACCUUAACUCCUCUGGUAGCUCAUCAGUAGCCUGCCCACACCUGUCAGUCAGCCACCUGACUGAUCAAUCACCUGUGUACUGGAACGGGUUCUUACUCAUGGAAUUACGGUGGAGGUUAUUGAACUAGUGUUAUUGUUUCUGCUGCAACUGGAGGACUUCAACCUACAUUUGGAUGGCACGGCAGAUGACCUCUGACCCCUGACCAGCCUUCCUCAGAGUGAUGGCCAGGUUUUUGGCUCUGUUGGCCUCCAGCAGAGAAACUUUGGAUGGACCCUUCUGAGGAAGUUUCUGUCUGGAGAGCGUCAAGUCCACCGCUGGACCUUGAGCCUUUGUCUUAAACAGCUCCUCAAAGCCCUCCACAUCCAGAUCCUGAGAGAGAGACAGGUACAGAGAGGGACAUGUAGCUAAACAGCAGAAAAUGGAUUCAUCGUCAAUGUCGUUGAAGAUAGUCCCGUUGAUCUGACUCGGCUUCAGGGCAACCCAGUUCAGCACUGGCAUCCUGAACUUUGUUUGGAUUGGCUUCUUUAUCUUCACCGCUGCACAGCAGGAAGGAAGAGAGAAGAGCAUGGAGUCAGAUUGUCAGAUUUAUUUGAAGGUUUAAAGUCUGCAGCUGAGUUUCUAAGACCCAGGGCUGCAGUGGCUGGUGUUCUCCAGGUCUACUCCUUUUUGCUCCCCUCACCAGUCACUCUAAACCAACAUCGUCAUAAGCAAUGAACAGGACUUGUGGUGGAAGCUAAGCAGGACUGAACAAGAUACACUGACCUUUAUAUGGACUCUGCAGAUUACGACUGAUUUCUUAUUUCCUACCAGUUUUUCCACUUGUCUCUGCACACUCACAAAGGUGUAAAUCAUGAUUGAAGCUGAGGUCUUGUGUCUUUGUGCUAAAACGUCCUUCACUUUCAGUCUAAACACACAUUAAAGGCGUUGACCAGUGCAAUCAAACAUGA